Molecule: long non-coding RNA, 5827 nt
Filed under: Sus scrofa (pig)
Lineage: Eukaryota; Metazoa; Chordata; Mammalia; Artiodactyla; Suidae
Description: lncRNA (ENSSSCG00000057116.1)
Source: RNAcentral
UUUUUUUUUUUUUUUUUUGUCUUUUUGCCAUUUCUUGGACCGCUCCCGUGGCAUAUGGAGGUUCCCAGGCUAGGGGUCGAAUCGGAGCUGUAGCCUCCGGCCUACGCCAGAGCCACAGCAAUGCGGGAUCCGAGCCGCGUCUGCAACCUACACCACAGCUCACGACAGCACGGGAUCGUUAACCCACUGAGCAAGGGCAGGGAUCGAACCCGAAACCUCAUGGUUCAUAGUCGGAUUCGUUAACCACUGCGCCACGAUGGGAACUCCUGUAGUAGCAGUUUUAACCAUCCAGUGAUAGAUACUCCUUCAUGAUAAGGAAAUCUUCGUGUGCAUUAAUUCCAAAAAUAAUUGCUGUGAAUGUUGUUGUAUUUUAAUAAUAUAUACAGCUGCAAAUUAGUGCUUUUGUACUUACUCUUAAUAAAUAUUUCACUCUACACGGAUUUCAGUUAGAAGAACUUUUAGUUACUCAGUUCUUUUCUGCUCCCUCUGCCCACUUCUGCUGUGGAUCCAUCAGUCAUACAUGUCUGCUUAGUGAUAAAUCCCAAAACAUUAGUAGUCACUCCAGUGAAUCCCUGUGAUGCUGUGUAUUCCUGCAUUUAAACAGUAGGUUCAAGUCAAAAGAAGCAAAGAUAAUGCACUGAUUAUGCUGAUGAAGAAACAGUACUUCAGAUACCCCAAUUCUUCCAUUCUCUAUGACAACUGGGAAUUUUUGCGUUAAAUUUUAAAACAGUGAAUCAGAGGGCAAACUGUGAUACAUAAUAUUUUGCUAGUGCCUUUUAUUCCUACAUGAAAUAUUCUGACUUUGCAUAAUAACCCUCAAAUGAAAUUUUAUAGUUUAAGUUAUUGACUGUUUUAAAACCAAGGAAUGAGACAGGAAAAUCAUUAUUAUUAUGUGAUUAAUUCUUUAAAAAUUUGGCUUAUGGAGGUCAAGAUAUCACAGAAGUGAUCAGCUCCUGGUGUCAAGUGUGCUAGUUAUGCUCCUCCUCUGGCGUUCCAUCCAUUAGAUGCCACUGCUCUUGGCAGUACAGUCUGUUGAAGGGUGAUAGUUCUGCUCAGCACAUUCGUGGAGAUGGUUUCUGUGGCUCCCAGGCAUUCAUGUUCUGCCUAUGAACCAAAUAGCCAAUUUUCUGCCUUGCUGUAGGCCACAUGAGAGCCAUGGGUAAAUGCUGUCCCCUCCUUAUUCCAGUGUUGGGGCAGGCCAUUCCCCUUCCUCUUAUUCCCAGAUACUGCACCCUUCCUGAGUAAUUCUGCUUUUUGCUUAGGUUUUUGAAAACAAAAUUCUCAUAGCACAGUCCAGGGGCAGAGAAAGCUCAACUGUCUUUUUUGUUUUUGCUUGGGUAUCAUUGAAAGUAGAUGGUUCAGAUGGGAACAGAAAUUGGAGUCACGUAUCUCAUUGUUUUGUCCUGAGCCUGUAGAAAUAUGAAACACAGUUAAUUUUUCUCUUGGGUUAUCUUGCCACAUUAGUCAAGAGUACCGUUAGAAUAGUAUUUAAGCAGCAAUUCUUGUGAGUUCUAUCAAUUUAGAGAAGUAAAAACAAUCGCAUUUGUAGUACUCUUAAAUCACACAAGCCAGGAAAUAUAUUCCACUUGAGUCGCUGAGUUUGUUAAUUACAAUUUGGCUUCAUUUCUGUGGGCUGUGGCAGUGUUCAUCACUAAUUAUAUCAUUGUCCUAUGUUCUUGUCAGUAUAACACUUUAUUGUGUGUAAUCUGGGUGAUGGUGUUCCUUUGAAGAUGACAAAAAAAAAAGAAAAUCACAUUUUUGUAAGCCAGAAUUCAUCGAUGAAACCACAGGGUAUUAACUGAGCAUCCAGUUGUGUGUAAUGUUAUUCAAGGUGCUUACAUCACCCUAUGGAUUGCUGGCGAUGUGUCUCAGGAUGCUGUCGUCUCCAACACAGCCCUCUGUUUUCCUUCAGAACCCAGUGGCUAGUCACAUUGAUGGUUACUUUUUUUUUCAUGCGCAUGUAGAAAACAAGUUACUAAGCCUCAGAAGUUAUCCCUGGAGAUUCUCUUAGGUCUGCUGAGCUCAGCAAGAGAAGAAAAACCUUCUUUAAGGGUAGGACUGGGAGCCCUGGGUGGAUACCCAACACAGGCCAGAUGCAUCCUUAGUCUCUGACUCCAGGUGGUGCCAAAUUAAUCAUCACAACCAAUUAUUCUCUGUACUGACUCUAGCACCCAUUCCCCAACCACUGCUGCUUUUCUUUGCAGCCUCUGUAUCGUUGCCUGCUUAGCACAGAAUGAUUUUUCUUGAGACAUUAGUUCCCUUCCUCUGCCUUUCCUUUUCCCCCUCAUUGAAUGAACGAAUGAACAACAAAUUAAGUUUGCUCUUCUGCCAGCUGGUUUUCUCUGUUCCGUGGCCUUGUGGUAGAACAUGCCUGCAGAGAGUGCUUAAAUUUUAGUAUUUUGGUUUUGGGUAUACAGAGGGCACCUCAGUCCUACUGAGCUUAAAAUCAGAUGCCUCAGAAGGUGAAAGGGCCAUCUUUUGUCUAUAUAUCUAUCUGCGUUGUUUAGGUAGAAUCUUUGAAUUAGCUUGGUGGCCCCAUGCUAUAAAGACAUGGCUGUGGAUAAGGGUGAGGGGUAGGGAAUAAUUUCUCCAGAGGAAGUUCUGGACAGAAAUCCCCACAGUUUUUACCACUCCUACAUCCUUCUUGUACAUAACAUUGGUUCUUGUCUCAGGUUCAAUACAGCAAGUCCCCCUUGCCCAUCCUAGGGCCCAUUAGUUUGCCUCCCUCUACUCUAUCAGUAGUCACAGAUAGUGACUUUUCUAGCUCCCCUUCUCCACUAGCUGGGUUCCACCUCCUCAGCUUCUGUAGCAAUAACUGAGGUUAAUUUGCUUUUAACUCUUCAGUUUCUAGUGCAGCUGUCCUAAGCUCUUUGUAUUCCAACAGUGCCCUUUUUUUGGGGGGGGGGUCACAUAUGCAGAAUUUCCAGGGCCAGGGAUUGAACCUGUGCCACAGCAAUGACCCAAAACACUGCAGUGACAACAAUGGAUACUUAACCCAUCAAGCCACCAGGGAACUCCUCAACAGUGCCUUUUUGUUUCUGCCUUCUCUUGUUAGAUACAAGUGAAUUUUCCUUUUCACAAAUGCUGGAGCUCAGGGGCUUGAUCCUGGAACUGCUAGUUAGAAUUUAAAUUCCAUUUCUUCACGGAAAUAGUUUUUGUCAGAGUUGAAGUAAUGCUUAAGUAGGACAUAUCUGGGGCAUUUUGUUUCAAAUAGACUUUUUAUAGGCUGACAUAAGAGUCCAAAUACAAUUUAUAACAUCAACUCUGAAAUGAUGGUUCCUGUAGACUUGAUUAUCAUCUUAGAAGUAGAUUUUUCUGGGGAACAAAACCCAUUUGUAAAUUAGAAACCCUCUGAUAAUUCAUAUACAGUUUUGGCUUUAUGCUCUAGCCUAUACCACUAUGGGCUGUCAUGUUCAGAACAAAGGUUAAAAAAAAAAGACAUCAAAACAAGGCAUAAAUAGGCAAAGUCCUAGUUGUUCAACCAAGUACAAGCUCACUUGCAAGUAUAAAAAAGCACAUGCUCAGUACAAGCUUAAAGUAGGAGAAUCGACAAGAUGAAUUUCAUACCUCAGGAUUUGUCAAAGAGGCAUAGACACUGGCAUUUGGAGUGUAUAUAGAAAGGACUGCAGUUGGAAGGAGGAGUGAGGGCUGUGGUAUUAGACCUUUCUAGUCAGUCAUGGCAAAAAUUGGCGUGGGAAAUGGUCACUGUCAGUCACAGACCACAGAGAAUAUAGGAAGCCCCCAACAGCUGGGGCACUCACGGGUGAUGAAUCCAGGGCAGGAAUAAUAGCUUGGAAGGUAGGGUUGUCAUUAUCAAGGCAUCUCUCCCAGGCUGGGGUUAUGAAUGGGGACCCCAAGCAAAAUCUCAAGAAUGAAGCAGGCUCUCUAAUGGUGAGAAGCUUGGUCCUUGGAAAUAAAAUCAAGAGGGAAGAGGAGAAUGUAUUGGGGAGAAGAGAUGUUUAUUGAGUCACAGGAGCCCCAUUAUCAGAAUGAGGCAUUGGACAGGGAAUGGUGAUGACCUGCAAACUAGGGCCCCAGGGAGAAGCCCAGAUGCUAGUGCUGAAUCUCCACAUUUUGGGCCCACCAUUCACCUGUGCGUUAAACUAGUCUCCUGAGGACAAGAAAUGACUGGCAGGUCUUCUUUAUUCCUAGGACCCUGCCAAGAUCCAAGUACAUAGCAUCCUGCUUUCCCUUCUGUUGCCUAGCAACAGCCACCUCCUUGAUUACUGGAGUUGUCAUAGUUUUUCUGUAUCUAUAUACUCUGAAACUAAGUACACAAAGCCUACAAGGAAGAAGGCAAAGUCCUAGUUGUUCAACCAAGUACAAGCUCACUUACAAGUAUAAGAAAGCACAUGCUCAGUACAAGCUCAGAGAAGGAGAAUCAACAAGACGAAUUUCUUGCUGAAUCCAAAAAUGGAGCAGGAGGCAGAGGGAGAGGGGAAGAAGGACAUUCUAAGGACUUUGUAAAUCCUAGAAUUAUCAGAAACAGAGGGAGAGAGAAAAAAUAAAAUUCAGAUAACCUUAUUUUAAAUAAUAGAUGAUAUAUUUUAAACAUACAUUAAAAACAUUUCUUCAUCAAUCAUUCUUUCUAGUACAGAAAUUAUUUAAUUAUUUCAAACACAAAGAAAAGCAUGCAGUUUGCCAUUCAAAAAGCCUAAAACUUUCCAGAUUAAAAUAAGUCAUAGAUGUUUCUCAAUAAUUCUAGUCAUUAAAUGCCAACAUUUAAAACUUUUGGGAGGAGUUAUCGUUGUGGCUUAUCACUAACGAAUCCUACUCGCAUCCAUGAGGAUGCGUGUUCAAUCCCUGGCAUCACUCAGUGGAUUAAGGAUCUGGCAUUACCAUGAGCUGUGGUGUAGGCUGGCAGCUACAGCUUCAAUUCGAACCCUAGACUGGGAACUUACAAACACUGCAGGUGGCAUCCCUAAAAAGUAAAAUAAUAAUAACGAUAAUAAUAAUAAUAGUAAUAAUAAAACUGCUGAGAAAUCCAGUUUUCUGUAAAGUAGAACAAAAAUGAAAUGAGCUGUCAACCAUAUGACAUAAUGCAUCAGACAGUUUUAGAAAGUCAAGAUGGAAAACACUCUACCUUCAGUGUCAAGCCUGGGUCUAGAGUCACUGGGCUUAAGAGAAGAGCAGCAAUUUUAAAGAGUUAGUGUGUCUUUGCAUUAAAGCCCUUAAACUAUAUAUUCAUCUGUCAAAGCCUAUUGGAAAACACACUUGCAUUUUUUCUUCUUUUAAAUCAGGGAUGUUGAAUCUUCUUUUAUUAUUAGGUAUCACUGACACUCCCUCCAAAAUCAACAUUCUCAUGUAGAGAAAAAAUGUACAUAGUUCUUUGGGUCUAUGUGGUUUUUAAAAGUAUAAUUAUUUUGUUUACACAAAGGAACUUGUACCACUUCAAUCACCACUUAUAUAUUCAAUGAGCUAUAUCUAAAAAGAGAAAUCUUUCUGGCAUGGUUAGUGCAGAUAAAAGUUGAAGCAGGGAAGAAGGGACAGAGGAGGAAAGUGGGAGAGGGAAGGAGGGCAAAAAAGGUGGAAAGGGGUGAGUACUUCGAAACGAGAGACUCAGCAGGAACCUGGCUUUCACGUCUACCAGGCAAUCAGGGCCUCAGAUACAUGUCCGAGAAAAUUAUUGUUAUUACCAUCCCUUGAAGUUUUUAUUUCCAUCUUGCAGUAGAAAUUAUUGCCUGGUUCCAUUUUUAAACUUCAAAGUGUACUUUCUCAAGGAAUUAUUACGAUUUUUUUCCUCCCUGGGGGAUCAUCUAAGGAUGUGGUUGGUUUACUUAAAAAUAUUAGAAGGGUGGUCCAGUUCACAUAGCUAUCAGCACACAAG